Molecule: ribosomal RNA, 2885 nt
Filed under: Aquella oligotrophica
Lineage: Bacteria; Pseudomonadati; Pseudomonadota; Betaproteobacteria; Neisseriales; Neisseriaceae
Description: 23S ribosomal RNA
Rfam family: Bacterial large subunit ribosomal RNA
Source: RNAcentral
AUAGAGUCAAGUGACUAAGUGCAUGUGGUGGAUGCCUUGGCGAUUACAGGCGAAGAAGGACGUAGUAGCUUGCGAUAAGCUGCGGGGAGUCGGCAAACAGACUUUGAUCCGCAGAUUUCCGAAUGGGGAAACCCGGCCAGAAAUGGUCAUCCCGCAAGGGAAGCGAACCCGGAGAACUGAAACAUCUAAGUACCCGGAGGAAAAGAAAUCAACCGAGAUUCCGAAAGUAGUGGCGAGCGAAAUCGGAGGAGCCGUAUAGUGUUAUAGUGACGAGAUAGGAGAAAUACCUGGGAAGGUAUGCCAUAGUGGGUGAUAGCCCCGUAUCUGAAAUCCGACAUUAAGAACUAAGCUAUAGAGAAGUAGGGCGGGACACGAGAAAUCCUGUUUGAAGAUGGGGGGACCAUCCUCCAAGGCUAAAUACUCGUAAUCGACCGAUAGUGAACCAGUACCGUGAGGGAAAGGCGAAAAGAACCCCGGGAGGGGAGUGAAAUAGAACCUGAAACUGCAUGCAUACAAACAGUGGGAGCGGACUUGAUCCGUGACUGCGUACCUUUUGUAUAAUGGGUCAGCGACUUACAUUCAGUAGCAAGCUUAACCGAGUAGGGGAGGCGUAGGGAAACCGAGUCUUAAUAGGGCGAAUAGUUGCUGGGUGUAGACCCGAAACCGGGUGAGCUAUCCAUGGCCAGGAUGAAGGUGCAGUAACAUGCACUGGAGGUCCGAACCGACUAAUGUUGCAAAAUUAGCGGAUGAGCUGUGGAUAGGGGUGAAAGGCUAAACAAACCCGGAGAUAGCUGGUUCUCCUCGAAAACUAUUUAGGUAGUGCCUCGUGGUUGAUACUUCUUGGGGUAGAGCACUGUUAUGGCUAGGGGUUAUUGCAACUUACCAAACCAUGGCAAACUCCGAAUACGAGAAAGUAAUACACGGGAGACAGACAUCUGGUGCUAACGUCAGGUGUCAAAAGGGAAACAACCCAGACCGCCAGCUAAGGUCCCAAAUGAUCAAUUAAGUGGUAAACGAUGUGGGAAGGCAUAGACAGCUAGGAUGUUGGCUUAGAAGCAGCCAUCAUUUAAAGAAAGCGUAAUAGCUCACUAGUCAAGUCGUCCUGCGCGGAAGAUGUAACGGGGCUAAAUUGAUAACCGAAGCUGCGGAUUCACAGUAAUGUGAGUGGUAGAGGAGCGUUCUGUAGGCCGAUGAAGGUGUGUUGAAAAGCAUGCUGGAGGUAUCAGAAGUGCGAAUGCUGACAUGAGUAGCGUUAAAGCGGGUGAAAAGCCCGCUCGCCGAAAGUCCAAGGAUUCCUACGCAACGUUAAUCGGCGUAGGGUGAGUCGGCCCCUAAGGUGAGGCAGAGAUGCGUAGCUGAUGGGAAACAGGUUAAUAUUCCUGUACCGAUGUAUAGUGCGAUGGGGGGACGGAGAAAGUUAGGCCAGCCAACUGUUGGAAUAGUUGGUUUAAGCAUGUAGGUGGGGAAGUUAGGCAAAUCCGGCUUUCUAACACUGAGGUGUGAUGACGAUUACCUACGGGUAAGAAGUGGUUGAUACUAAGCUUCCAGGAAAAGCCUCUAAGCUUCAGCUGUACACGACCGUACCGCAAACCGACACUGGUGGACGAGAUGAGUAUUCUAAGGCGCUUGAGAGAACUCUGGAGAAGGAACUCGGCAAAUUAGCACCGUAACUUCGGGAGAAGGUGCGCCCCGAUGAUGUGUAGGAAUUUACUUCCGAAGCAGUAAGGGGUUGCAGUGAAAUGGUGGCUGAGACUGUUUAUUAAAAACACAGCACUCUGCAAACACGAAAGUGGACGUAUAGGGUGUGACGCCUGCCCGGUGCUGGAAGAUUAAAUGAUGGGGUGCAAGCUCUUGAUUGAAGUCCCAGUAAACGGCGGCCGUAACUAUAACGGUCCUAAGGUAGCGAAAUUCCUUGUCGGGUAAGUUCCGACCCGCACGAAUGGCGUAACGAUGGCCACACUGUCUCCUCCAGAGACUCAGCGAAGUUGAAAUGUUUGUGAAGAUGCAAUCUCCCCGCGGCUAGACGGAAAGACCCCAUGCACCUUUACUGCAGCUUUGCAUUGGACUUUGACCAUAUUUGUGUAGGAUAGGUGGGAGGCUUUGAAGUUGUGACGCUAGUCACAAUGGAGCCGACGUUGAAAUACCACCCUGAUAUGUUUGAGGUUCUAACCUAGGUGUAACAGCACCGGGGACAGUACAUGGUAGGCAGUUUGACUGGGGCGGUCUCCUCCCAAAGAGUAACGGAGGAGUACGAAGGUAACCUUAUCACGGACGGAAAUCGUGAGGAAAGUGCAAUGGCAAAAGGUUGCUUGACUGCGAGACUGACAAGUCGAGCAGGUGCGAAAGCAGGUCAUAGUGAUCCGGUGGUUCUGAAUGGAAGGGCCAUCGCUCAACGGAUAAAAGGUACGCUGGGGAUAACAGGCUGAUACCGCCCAAGAGUUCACAUCGACGGCGGUGUUUGGCACCUCGAUGUCGGCUCAUCUCAUCCUGGGCUGUAGUCGGUCCCAAGGGUAUGGCUGUUCGCCAUUUAAAGAGGUACGUGAGCUGGGUUUAAAACGUCGUGAGACAGUUUGGUCCCUAUCUGCCGUGGGCGUUGGAGAUUUGAGGGGGCUGCUCCUAGUACGAGAGGACCGGAGUGGACACACCUCUGGUGUACCGGUUGUGACGCCAGUCGCAUUGCCGGGUAGCUAAGUGUGGAAGAGAUAACCGCUGAAAGCAUCUAAGUGGGAAACUUGCCUCGAGAUAAGAUCUCCCUUGUGCCGUGAGCACACUGAAGGGUCGUUGAAGACUACAACGUUGAUAGGUCGGGUGUGGAAGCGCAGUAAUGUGUUAAGCUAACCGAUACUAAUUGCCCGAGAGGCUUGACUCUAUUAUUUUAGUAGUUU